AUUUAAAUAGCUUAUAUAUAGAGCGUGACAUUGAAGAUGUUAAAGAGAUUAUUCUAAUCUUUAAAUAA
RNAcentral lists this transfer RNA (68 nucleotides) under Paratrichocladius tamaater. RNAcentral's name for it is "tRNA-Phe". It matches the Rfam family "tRNA". Rfam says of the family: Transfer RNA (tRNA) molecules are approximately 80 nucleotides in length. Lineage: Eukaryota; Metazoa; Arthropoda; Insecta; Diptera; Chironomidae. The record is from RNAcentral.